UCGACGAUGUCCUGGAAGGGCGAGAUGUCGGCCUGGAUCGUCGGCAGGCCGUCGUUCGGACCGACGCUGUCGAUC
RNAcentral lists this transfer RNA (75 nucleotides) under Methylobrevis pamukkalensis. RNAcentral describes it as "tRNA-Ser". The record is from RNAcentral. Lineage: Bacteria; Pseudomonadati; Pseudomonadota; Alphaproteobacteria; Hyphomicrobiales; Pleomorphomonadaceae.